Molecule: long non-coding RNA, 236 nt
Filed under: Elaeis guineensis (African oil palm)
Lineage: Eukaryota; Viridiplantae; Streptophyta; Magnoliopsida; Arecales; Arecaceae
Description: long non-coding RNA (EGUI_LNC052918)
Source: RNAcentral
AACUCAAACAGUCCUGUGACUCCUCACUAGGACUACCCUGGCCAAGGUUUUGCUAAAUUAAAACAUGACUAUACAUAGCUCCUGAACUGGAGUGGUCAAUCCCAUCUUGACACAUGCACCAACAAGUCAAGUACUUGACUACACCCAGCAGCCUUCCAUCACUGAAUUAGAAAUUCAGGUAGUCUAGUGCCUAAGUACAGUGAGUUGCUUGCAAGUCACUGUGGCGGUCUCAGGUC